Molecule: ribosomal RNA, 449 nt
Filed under: uncultured bacterium
Lineage: Bacteria
Description: partial 16S ribosomal RNA
Rfam family: Bacterial small subunit ribosomal RNA
Source: RNAcentral
GUCGAGAAUCUUUCACAAUGGGGGCAACCCUGAUGGAGCGACGCCGAGUGGAGGAUAAGGUCUUCGGAUUGUAAACUCCUGUCAUGCGUGAACAAGGUUGCUUGGUUAAUACCUGGGCAAAUUGAUGGUAACGCAAGAGGAAGAGACGGCUAACUCUGUGCCAGCAGCCGCGGUAAUACAGAGGUCUCAAGCGUUGUUCGGAAUCACUGGGCGUAAAGGGUGCGUAGGUGGCGUGGUAAGUCAGAUGUGAAAGCCCGGGGCUCAACCUCGGAACUGCAUCCGAUACUGCCAUGCUAGAGUACUGGAGAGGUGACUAGAAUUCUCGGUGUAGCAGUGAAAUGCGUAGAUAUCGAGAGGAAUACCAAAGGCGUAGGCAGGUCACUGGACAGUUACUGACACUGAGGCACGAAGGCCAGGGGAGCGAACGGGAUUAGAUACCCCGGUAGUCC